AACGAACGCUGGCGGCAUGCCUAACACAUGCAAGUCGAACGAAGCCUUCGGGCUUAGUGGCGCACGGGUGCGUAACACGUGGGAAUCUGCCCUUUGGUUCGGAAUAACAGUUGGAAACGACUGCUAAUACCGGAUGAUGACGAAAGUCCAAAGAUUUAUCGCCAGAGGAUGAGCCCGCGUAGGAUUAGCUAGGUGGUGUGGUAAAGGCGCACCAAGGCGACGACCCUUAGCUGGUCUGAGAGGAUGAUCAGCCACACUGGGACUGAGACACGGCCCAGACUCCUGCGGGAGGCAGCAGUGGGGAAUAUUGAACAAGGGGCGAAAGCCUGAUCCAGCAAUGCCGCGUGAGUGAUGAAGGCCCUAGGGUUGUAAAGCUCUUUUACCCGGGAUGAUAAUGACAGUACCGGGAGAAUAAGCCCCGGCUAACUCCGUGCCAGCCGCCGCAGUAA
RNAcentral lists this ribosomal RNA (449 nucleotides) under uncultured bacterium. Its description in RNAcentral is "partial 16S ribosomal RNA". It matches the Rfam family "Bacterial small subunit ribosomal RNA", at positions 29 to 523 of the family's 1533-position model. The record is from RNAcentral.